Small nuclear RNA from Lemur catta (Ring-tailed lemur), 112 nucleotides. The record is from RefSeq and is a predicted model, not a curated record. Lineage: Eukaryota; Metazoa; Chordata; Mammalia; Primates; Lemuridae.
GUGCUUUGGCAACACAUAUAUUAAUAGUAAAAUUGGAACGAUACAGAGGAGAUUAGCAUGGCCCCUGUGCAAGGAUCAUGAAGCAUUCCAUAUUAAAAAAAAAAAAAUAAAU